ACGGGGGGAGCAAGCGUUGUUCGGAUUUACUGGGCGUAAAGGGCGCGUAGGCGGCCACCGCAAGUCGACUGUGAAAUCUCCGGGCUUAACUCGGAAAGGUCAGCCGAUACUGCGGGGCUAGAGUGCAGAAGGGGCAACUGGAAUUCUCGGUGUAGCGGUGAAAUGCGCAGAUAUCAGGAGGAACACCGGUGGCGAAGGCGGGUCUCUGGGCAGUAACUGACGCUGAGGAGCGAAAGCGUGGGGAGCGAACAGGA
RNAcentral lists this ribosomal RNA (254 nucleotides) under uncultured prokaryote. Its description in RNAcentral is "partial 16S ribosomal RNA". It matches the Rfam family "Bacterial small subunit ribosomal RNA", at positions 525 to 777 of the family's 1533-position model. The record is from RNAcentral.